RNAcentral lists this RNase P RNA (513 nucleotides) under Acidobacteria bacterium 13_1_20CM_3_53_8. RNAcentral's name for it is "RNase P RNA component class A". It matches the Rfam family "Bacterial RNase P class A". Rfam says of the family: Ribonuclease P (RNase P) is a ubiquitous endoribonuclease, found in archaea, bacteria and eukarya as well as chloroplasts and mitochondria. Its best characterised activity is the generation of mature 5'-ends of tRNAs by cleaving the 5'-leader elements of precursor-tRNAs. The record is from RNAcentral. Lineage: Bacteria; Pseudomonadati; Acidobacteriota.
AGAGCAGGUCGGGCGGUCGCUGCCGCGCUAAGCUUAUAGCUUAAUGCGGGAGAGGAAAGUCCGAACACCACAGGGCAGCGAGCCAGCUAACGGCUGGGCGCUUGCGCGCCUGUUGAAUAAUUUGAGCGAAUAUCGCUUUUAUUCUUAUCAGCAGGCACGCGAGUGACGACAAGUGCAACAGAGAACAGACCAGCCAGCGUGUUCAAUAGAGAAUCUCAAUUGAACGGCGGGUGAUGGGUGAAACGGUGCGGCCUCGACGAGAGGCUUAAUGUAAGAGCGCACCGGCGCGCGUGGUAACACGUGCGGCCAGGCAAACUCCUCGCGGUGCAAGACCAAAUAGGGAGGCGUCAAAAAAGGCUGCCCGCCCGAAGCUGCGUUUCUUUACAAAGAGCGUGGCUACGACCUCCGGGUAGGUCGCUUGAGCCAUUCGGCGACGGAUGGCCUAGAUGAAUGAUCGUCACUCCGUACGAAAAAUGCGGAGUACAGAAUUCGGCUUACAGACCUGCUCUCAAA